AGGCCACCCUGGAGAACAACCCCCAGAGAGCCCAGAUGAGGCAGCAGCAGAAGAAGAAGGGUUCCAUCCCCUUCCUGGGCACGUUCCUCACUGACCUGGUGAUGCUGGACACGGCGAUGAAGGAUUACCUGGAUGGCAAUCUUGUCAACUUGGAGAAAAUACAGAAGGUAAGCAGCUGUGUCCUGCACUUCCAGGAGGGUGGGAAGGCAGAAUUCAGAAACCUCCUGGGCUGGACGCUCCUUGGCUUCACCCUCUGCAUUGUGCUUUAUUAGGAGGGUUUUGUACACACAGAAAGAUGAAAACCAUCCCGAUGGAGUGUGUGCACAGGAGACUGGACACGACACAUG
This 347-nucleotide long non-coding RNA is filed under the name Heterocephalus glaber (naked mole-rat). Its description in RNAcentral is "lncRNA (ENSHGLG00000048376.1)". The record is from RNAcentral. Lineage: Eukaryota; Metazoa; Chordata; Mammalia; Rodentia; Bathyergidae.